This is a long non-coding RNA of Marmota flaviventris (yellow-bellied marmot), 1506 nucleotides long. RefSeq lists it as uncharacterized. Lineage: Eukaryota; Metazoa; Chordata; Mammalia; Rodentia; Sciuridae. The record is from RefSeq and is a predicted model, not a curated record.
CUGAGGUCAGGGGGAGGUGGGGCUGGGCUUGCUCAUGGGGCUCCUGCAUGGGAUCCCCAUCUCUUCUGACAAUAUUAAGAAUAGAUUAAGAAUAGAGAGUGAAGUGAGCUUCAUAGAGCAGCUUCCCCAGGAUGACUGAGGAGAAGGAGGGAAAGUUGGAGAGCAGCUGUUCUCUGGAAGUGAUUAAACCCUAGAGAGAUACACAUAAUCAUAGAAAAUGGAGAAAAAGAUGGUUUAUAAGCUCAAAAUUAGUUCCAUGCCUUUGACACUAAAACCACUUCUCCUCUGGUGUGGGAAGGACAUCUCUGGAUCAUGGCACUAGACCUGGAGUUUUAAAGGAAUAAGAGUGCCCGGGCAGCCCUGUUGCUCCGUAUCCGUUCCCCCGUCUUCCUCGGCAGGAGGAUCUCCACUCUGGGAUGGACCCUGUGUUUCCCAGCCCAAGCCACUCCAGGGUUUUGGAGUUGGAAUGAGUUUGACAGCUCUGGCUAGUGACAAGACCUCACUAAGUUGCCCAGGCUGGCCUCAAACUUACGAUGCUCCUGCCUUGGCCUCCCGAACCGCUGGAAUGGAAUUACAGGCGUGCACCACUGCCACGGGCAGGACAGUUGUUUUCAAUAUCUGAAAGGCUGUGUUGUAGAGUUGGGAUCAAACUAUUUGGCUCUACCCCAGUGAGUGGGAUUGGGACCUUUGAUGGAAGCAUCUGGAAGGUGCUGAGGAUCGAACCCAGGGUCUCACAUGUGCGAGGCGAGUGCUCUGCCGCUGAGCCACAACCCCAGCCCCUCACCCAACUUUUUGAUUCUCGGAUUCUGUGUGUGUUGUGAGUUCCGUUCUGCACCAUGGAAGACCAGGACACCAAGACCUGCAGCGAGUUUCACGUGCCACACAGCUCACUCUCUCUGAGCCUCAGAGCUACCUGCUUUCCUGUAUUUUCAAGUCUUCUGUUCCUUUCAGGAAGAAAAAAAAAAGAACAACAACAAUAAAACCCCAAUUGUGUCUGCCACGCCACCCAGACCCAGUUAGCAUGUUUGGACAGGAUAUGCAGUUACCCAAUAUUGUCUGAAAGAUGUGUUUUCCUGACUCUGGACAAAUUGGAGCAGACUUUCCCUUUGAUGUGCAAUCUUCUGUCUCAACACACCACUAAACCAGUCAGGGUCACUCCAGGUGAACUGGGCUGGCACGAAAUCAUCACAUAGAGACAGAGGAAGACCUUUUUCUUUGGGUUCUGUGACAGCUCUGCUGACCGAGCGGCCACAAAGGAGGCGAGAGAGAGAGAGAGAGAGAGAGCAGGCCUUGAACCCGGGCUUUUAUUGGCUGUUCCAUGGAAUAUUCUAUCCCCCAAAGGGCAAAGGGGUAGGAUUACAAAGGAAUAGGUGUCCAGGCUCAGAGGGCUACUUGCGGAAGAGGAGGAACGAGGAAUGUGCUGAGUCUACGGAAUUCCAGAGCCCACUGUGUUCCCACUGUACGUGGAUGUCCAGAGAAUAAAUCACUCGAAAAUCUUAAAAAUCA